UCUAUUAUGGCAGAAUAGUGCAAUGGACUUAAGCCCCAAAUAUAAAGGUUGGCCUUUUUAUAGAA
Molecule: transfer RNA, 65 nt
Filed under: Epicauta tibialis
Lineage: Eukaryota; Metazoa; Arthropoda; Insecta; Coleoptera; Meloidae
Description: tRNA-Leu
Rfam family: tRNA
About the family: Transfer RNA (tRNA) molecules are approximately 80 nucleotides in length. Their secondary structure includes four short double-helical elements and three loops (D, anti-codon, and T loops). Further hydrogen bonds mediate the characteristic L-shaped molecular structure. tRNAs have two regions of fundamental functional importance: the anti-codon, which is responsible for specific mRNA codon recognition, and the 3' end, to which the tRNAs corresponding amino acid is attached (by aminoacyl-tRNA synthetases). tRNAs cope with the degeneracy of the genetic code in two manners: having more than one tRNA (with a specific anti-codon) for a particular amino acid; and 'wobble' base-pairing, i.e. permitting non-standard base-pairing at the 3rd anti-codon position.
Source: RNAcentral